UGCCUGUACCAUAACCGACACAGGUGGGUAGGUAGAGUAUACUAAGGGGCGCGAGAUAACUCUCUCUAAGGAACUCGGCAAAAUGACUCCGUAACUUCGGGAGAAGGAGUGCCUUAUUUAUAAGGUUGCAAUAACAAGAUCCAAGCAACUGUUUAUCAAAAACACAGGUCUCCGCUAAGUCGUAAGACGAUGUAUGGGGGCUGACGCCUGCCCAGUGCCAGAAGGUUAAAGAAGUUGGUUAGUGUAUGCGAAGCUGAUGACUGAAGCCCUGGUGAACGGCGGCCGUAACAAUAACGGUCCUAAGGUAGCGAAAUUCCUUGUCGGGUAAGUUCCGACCCGCACGAAAGGCGUAAUGAUUUGGAUACUGUCUCGGAGAGAGGCUCGGUGAAAUAGACUUGUCUGUGAAGAUGCGGACUACCUGCACCAGGACAGAAAGACCCUAUGAAGCUUUACUGUAACUUGAAAUUGGAAUUGGACUUUGCUUGCGCAGUAUAGGUGGGAAGCGUUGAAGAUAUUCUUGCGGGAGUAUUGGAGCUAUCAGUGAGAUACCACUCUUGUAAUGUUAGAUUUCUAACUUUGAACCAUAAUCUGGUCAAAGAACAGUUUCAGGUGGGCAGUUUGACUGGGGCGGUCGCCUCCCAAAUGGUAACGGAGGCGUACAAAGGUUUCCUCUGAACGGAUAGAAAUCGUAUCUAGAGUGUAAAGGCAUAAGGAAGCUUGACUGUGAGACCUACAAGUCGAGCAGGGACGAAAGUCGGUCUUAGUGAUCUGACGGUACUGAGUGGAAAGGCCGUCACUCAACGGAUAAAAGUUACUCUAGGAUAACAGGCUGAUCUCCCCCAAGAGUUCACAUCGACGGGGAGGUUUGGCACCUCGAUGUCGGCUCAUCGCAUCCUGGGGCGGUAGUACGUCCCAAGGGUUGGGCUGUUCGCCCAUGAAAGCGGUACGCGAGCUGGGUUCAGAACGUCGUGAGACAGUUCGGUCCAUAUCCGGUGUAGGCGCUGGAAUAUUGAGAGGAGCCUUCUUUAGUACGAGAGGACCGAGAAGGACACACCGCUGGUGUACCAGUUAUCGUGCCAACGGUAAACGCUGGGUAGCUAUGUGUGGAGUGGAUAACGCUGAAAGCAUCUAAGCGUGAAGCCCGCUCCGAGAUUAGGUUUCGUAGCACGAUAAGUGCGAGAGCCCCCUGGAAGACGACCAGGUCGAUAGGCCGGAUGUGUAAGCUCAGUAAUGGGUUAAGCUAACCGGUACUAAAGGGCGAAAGC
This 1265-nucleotide ribosomal RNA is filed under the name metagenome. Its description in RNAcentral is "bacterial LSU rRNA". It matches the Rfam family "Bacterial large subunit ribosomal RNA", at positions 1639 to 2925 of the family's 2925-position model. The record is from RNAcentral.